RNAcentral lists this ribosomal RNA (469 nucleotides) under uncultured bacterium. Its description in RNAcentral is "partial 16S ribosomal RNA". It matches the Rfam family "Bacterial small subunit ribosomal RNA", at positions 355 to 840 of the family's 1533-position model. The record is from RNAcentral.
UGGGGAAUAUUGGACAAUGGGGGCAACCCUGAUCCAGCAAUGCCGCGUGUGUGAAGAAGGUCUUCGGAUUGUAAAGCACUUUCGACGGGGACGAUGAUGACGGUACCCGUAGAAGAAGCCCCGGCUAACUUCGUGCCAGCAGCCGCGGUAAUACGAAGGGGGCUAGCGUUGCUCGGAAUGACUGGGCGUAAAGGGCGUGUAGGCGGUUUACACAGUCAGAUGUGAAAUCCCCGGGCUUAACCUGGGAGCUGCAUUUGAUACGUGUAGACUAGAGUGUGAGAGAGGGUUGUGGAAUUCCCAGUGUAGAGGUGAAAUUCGUAGAUAUUGGGAAGAACACCGGUGGCGAAGGCGGCAACCUGGCUCAUGACUGACGCUGAGGCGCGAAAGCGUGGGGAGCAAACAGGAUUAGAUACCCUGGUAGUCCACGCCUGUAAACGAUGUGUGCUAGAUGUUGGGUAACUUUGUUAUU